This is a long non-coding RNA of Mesocricetus auratus (golden hamster), 1703 nucleotides long. RefSeq lists it as uncharacterized. The record is from RefSeq and is a predicted model, not a curated record. NCBI's taxonomy places the organism in Eukaryota, Metazoa, Chordata, Mammalia, Rodentia, Cricetidae. The transcript has 6 exons.
UGGAAGACUACUAACGUGCCUGCGGAAUAUGAAGGAGGCCGUGCUCGCUGCAAUUGUCGUCUUCCAGGUAGCAGGAAAGUAAACAGGUCCCGGACAGCCCAGCAGUGAGUGCUACUGUGCGCCUUGUAACAGGAGGACACAGAGCUUCUGGUUUUACUGCCUUGGCCUGGAGGGAGAGUGCAUUGCUUUUUUAAAAGACCAGCAUUCCCUGGAUAAGGGCCGAGAAGAGCCUGGGAACACUUGGACCGGACCAGACCAUAACCAUCAGUAACAGAGGGGCCCCGUUGUAAGGAAGAGGGACUGAUUGGCGUUCUCAACCACACCGAAUCUUGUCUCCCACUGGAGUAGCGUUUGCUAGUGAAGGCUGAUUUGACAGGGCUCCAGUUUGUUCCGGUCCUUUCAAGGGGUUGCUCUGACUGCCCGGUCUCUGGGUCAUCGCAGUGACACAAUCAAGAGCUUCUGACGGAAGCAAAGGCCUCACACCUUUCCAACAAGAUCAGAUAUGCAGACCUAGACUAAUAGAACGCAACUGCUAAUAAGAAGGAAAGAAGACGGGAGAUAAGAGAAGAGAGAAGUUCAACAUCCAAAAGCCACAAUGUGGAGAGGAAACCCGCACAGUUCUCAGAGGGAGCCAGAGUGAGAGGGAAAGAAGGGGAUAUCUCCUGCCCAGGAAGAGACUGUAGAGAGCUAAAUUAACAGUGUUUCUCUCACCAAAUGGCCAGCAGCCACAGACGGACAUGGAAAAUAAAACAAGAAAGAGAAGCAUCGUGUUUACCAUACCCUGUCAUUGUCUCCAAGGAAGAAAGCCAAGGUCCUCAUUAACCUGAACUUCUAGAAGGACAAGGUAACUGGAAAUGACAGACUUUUGUUUGAACCUUGCGGAUGCAGCAUUUUUUUUUUUUUGGUGGCUUGCCCAAAAGUGCUGCCCUGCUAUGGAAGCCUUCCCAGCGCCCCACCCUGGCAACCCUGACUCGGGUUUCCCACGAAAACCUGUCUGCCUAGUUUUAAAUGAAGGUGCCCAGCUUCCAAGUGAAAGGGGGGAUGCAAAGAAGAGAAGCAGGAGACAGAGCUGACCACGCCUCUUGCGUGUCAAAUGAGGACAGUGGAAAUUAAGAUAAAGCCAAAGCAGGAAAAAGCAGAAUGCUGGUCUGUGUAUACACCUUUCUUAAGGUUUGUGGGCACAAUGGUCCUGGGAUCUUGGGAUAUCCUUGGGUAAGGUGUCUUUCUUGAGGAGUGAUGGUCUUGAAACUUGAUGGCCGCCAAAAAGCCCUCCCAUUCCCCCACCCCUACCCCAUGCAAUGGCCUCUGGAUUCCUGACUCAUAAAUUCACAGGAUGGUGAAAUCUGCAGGCCAUAAAGGGUGAGUCUGAGGGAGUUCCUUACAAAUCCGUAGACUAGAGCUUUUAAGAAGGAAAGAAAGAGCCGAGAUAUUUGAGUUAGGCGUGGUGGACAGCCACUGGGUAAAUAAGUAGCCACAUGGCAGAGAAUGGAGAUUUAGAGAAAGCAUGAAAAAGGUCAACGAGCCAGGGAAAGCAUGGCUCUGGCCAGCACCUGGAGGAGAGAACAAGGAAGUUAUGCCAUUCUGAGUCUUAAUCCGGAGAGAGGGGCAGACCCAAAGGGACCUUAUGUAGCCUAAAGGAACUGCAUGGGAGUGAGAAUUCUGGGAGGGAAAAAGUACAUUAUCACAUUAAAAGGCCAAUUAUU